This 460-nucleotide ribosomal RNA is filed under the name uncultured bacterium. RNAcentral describes it as "partial 16S ribosomal RNA". It matches the Rfam family "Bacterial small subunit ribosomal RNA", at positions 338 to 795 of the family's 1533-position model. The record is from RNAcentral.
GCUACGGGAGGCAGCAGUGAGGAAUAUUGGUCAAUGGGCGGAAGCCUGAACCAGCCAAGUCGCGUGCAGGAUGACGGCCCUACGGGUUGUAAACUGCUUUUAUACGGGAAUAACGCGCCUUACGUGUAGGGCUUUGCAUGUACCGUAUGAAUAAGCACCGGCUAAUUCCGUGCCAGCAGCCGCGGUAAUACGGAGGGUCCGGGCGUUAUCCGGAUUUAUUGGGGUUAAAGGGGGCGUAGGCCGGAGGGCCAGGGUGCGGUGAAAUGUCCGGGCCCAACCCGGGCCCUGCAGGGCGAACUGGCGCGCUUGAGUCCGCGGAAAGUAGGCGGAAUGCGUCGUGUAGCGGUGAAAUGCUUAGAUAUGACGAAGAACCCCGAUUGCGAAGGCAGCCUGCUGCAGCGGAACUGACGCUGAUGCUCGAAAGCGCGGGUAUCGAACAGGAUUAGAUACCCCAGUAGUC